RNAcentral lists this ribosomal RNA (387 nucleotides) under uncultured organism. RNAcentral describes it as "bacterial SSU rRNA". It matches the Rfam family "Bacterial small subunit ribosomal RNA", at positions 45 to 433 of the family's 1533-position model. The record is from RNAcentral.
UGCCUAAUACAUGCAAGUCGAACGCUGUAGCAAUACAGAGUGGCGCACGGGUGAGUAACACGUGGAUAAUCUCCCAUUGAGUGGGGAAUAACCUUUCGAAAGAAGGGCUAAUACCGCAUAAGACCACAGGAACAUAUGUUCAAGGGGUCAAAGGGGGGCGUAAGCCUCUCGCUUAAUGAUGAGUCCGCGCCCGAUUAGCUAGUUGGUAGGGUAAUGGCCUACCAAGGCAUUUAUCGGUAACUGGUCUGAGAGGAUGACCAGUCACACUGGAAGUGAGACACGGUCCAGACUCCUACGGGAGGCAGCAGUAGGGAAUAUUGCGCAAUGGGGGAAACCCUGACGCAGCGACGCCGCGUGAGUGAUGAAGGCCUUCGGGUCGUAAAGCUC